CGUCAGCUCGUGUCGUGAGAUGUUGGGUUAAGUCCCGCAACGAGAGCGACCCUUGUCUUUGAUUGCCAUCAUUCGGUUGGGCACUUUAAAGAGACUGCCGGUGUUAAGCCGGAGGAAGGUGGGGAUGACGUCAAGUCCUCAUGGCCUUUAUGCCCAGGGCUACACACGUGCUACAAUGGGUGGUACAAAGAGCAGCGAACUCGCGAGAGUAAGCGAAUCUCAAAAAGCCGGCCUCAGUUCGGAUUGAAGUCUGCAACUCGACUUC
RNAcentral lists this ribosomal RNA (265 nucleotides) under uncultured bacterium. Its description in RNAcentral is "partial 16S ribosomal RNA". It matches the Rfam family "Bacterial small subunit ribosomal RNA", at positions 1053 to 1319 of the family's 1533-position model. The record is from RNAcentral.